RNAcentral lists this ribosomal RNA (468 nucleotides) under uncultured bacterium. RNAcentral's name for it is "partial 16S ribosomal RNA". It matches the Rfam family "Bacterial small subunit ribosomal RNA", at positions 28 to 507 of the family's 1533-position model. The record is from RNAcentral.
GACGAACGCUGGCGGCGUGCUUAACACAUGCAAGUCGAACGGAGAGGCCCUGCUUUUGUGGGGUGCUCGAGUGGCGAACGGGUGAGUAACACGUGAGUAACCUGCCCUUGACUUUGGGAUAACUUCAGGAAACUGGGGCUAAUACCGGAUAGGAGCUCCUGCUGCAUGGUGGGGGUUGGAAAGUUUCGUCGGUUGGGGAUGGACUCGCGGCUUAUCAGCUUGUUGGUGGGGUAGUGGCUUACCAAGGCUUUGACGGGUAGCCGGCCUGAGAGGGUGACCGGCCACAUGGGGACUGAGAUACGGCCCAGACUCCUACGGGAGGCAGCAGUGGGGAAUAUUGCACAAUGGGCGGAAGCCUGAUGCAGCAACGCCGCGUGCGGGAUGACGGCCUUCGGGUUGGAAACCGCUUUCGCCUGUGACGAAGCGUGAGUGACGGUAAUGGGUAAAGAAGCACCGGCUAACUACGUG